Molecule: ribosomal RNA, 119 nt
Filed under: Pteropus alecto (black flying fox)
Lineage: Eukaryota; Metazoa; Chordata; Mammalia; Chiroptera; Pteropodidae
Source: RNAcentral
GUCUAUGGCCAUGCUACCCUGAACAAGCCCAAUUUUGUCUGAUCUUGGAAGCUAAGCAGGGUAGGGCCUGGUUAGUACUUGGAUGGGAGACCACCUAGGAAGACCAGGUGCUGUAGGUA